GUUAUUUUCAGUUUGUUUUAUGUUGUCCAUCUUCCCAAGCUACAAAGUUCAAGAGCUAUAGUUUGUGUAGUAAUCACUGCUGUAAAAACACUGAAGACUGUUUGAUAGGAAGAAGACAAACCAACCUCCAUGUCAAAAUGCAGGUGAUGCAAGCAGCCCAUACCAAAGAGCUCCACAAUCAAAUCUGAACUAGCGUUAUCCAAAUAGUCAGGAUCUAGAACUUCAUUUGGAUUUGGAGUGCCCAUCUAGCGAUUGAAUGGAACAGCUGCUGAGGAACAGUUUAUCUCUUUGUGUGGUCAAAGGAAUACUUUCUUCACUAUGCCUUGCUACAGAUUAAAAUUACUGAACGAUCUGGCUUGUCUUCAAGAGAAAAAAAACACUGGAUCAUGAUGAUACUGAAUUCUGGAAUUUUCUGCAAUUAGAUUUAGAUAGUAAUGGAUUACCACUAUUCUAUGGAGGCGAACAGCUGCAAUGGUCUCAAUCCUGAGAGAUACAUUUAACAGUUCUGACAUGAAGGAAAACCUUCCUGGAGGGCACUAAAACCAUCUAGAACAAUGGGGGGAACCUUUAUUUCUUUCGCAAGGCCUGAUUAUAUAGAACAUUCCUGAAUGUGGAACAUAUUAAAGCUAAUGAGCAUGUCAGAACACCUGAUUAUUCUUUUGAGGAGCCUUUGGAAUAAAUAAGAAUUUCCUGCAAUAACUGAGUUUGAAGAUUCUAAAUAGGAAAAGGGUCUUUGUUUGCAGAACUGGAGAAAGGCUUUUCCUCACCUCCCUUCUUUUCACUCCUGGUUUCACUUGGAUGGAAGGGAUUCUUCCACUGUAAAGGGGGAAAUCUGAGGCUACGAAGUGACUUGCCACAGACUGAAUCCAGGAAGAAAAAGGACUGCAAAUUCAGAUUUUCUGGAUUCUGGCUCCACAACUUUGUUGCCUGA
Molecule: long non-coding RNA, 931 nt
Filed under: Naja naja (Indian cobra)
Lineage: Eukaryota; Metazoa; Chordata; Lepidosauria; Squamata; Elapidae
Description: lncRNA (ENSNNAG00000003955.1)
Source: RNAcentral